CUGAGAGGGCGCUGAGAGACGAUCAGCUAGAUAGGCUGCAGGUGGGCGCGUGGUAACACGUGAAGCCGAGCAGUACUAAUGCCCGAACGCUUCGUAAG
Molecule: ribosomal RNA, 98 nt
Filed under: Anaerolineales bacterium
Lineage: Bacteria; Bacillati; Chloroflexota; Anaerolineae; Anaerolineales
Description: partial 23S ribosomal RNA
Rfam family: Bacterial large subunit ribosomal RNA
Source: RNAcentral